This 354-nucleotide ribosomal RNA is filed under the name uncultured bacterium. RNAcentral describes it as "partial 16S ribosomal RNA". It matches the Rfam family "Bacterial small subunit ribosomal RNA", at positions 338 to 690 of the family's 1533-position model. The record is from RNAcentral.
CCUACGGGAGGCAGCAGUGAGGAAUAUUGGUCAAUGGGCGGAAGCCUGAACCAGCCAAGUAGCGUGCGGGAUGAAGGCCCUACGGGUCGUCAACCGCUUUUGCACGGGGAUAACACCCUCCACUUGUGGAGGUCUGCAGGUACCGUGCGACUAAGGGCCGGCUAAUUCCGUGCCAGCAUCCGCGGUAACACGGAAGGCCCGAGCGUUAUCCGGGUUCCUUGGGCUUAAAGGGAGCGUAGGCGGGCGUUCAAGUCAGCUGUAAAAUCGCGGGGCUCAACCGCGCCCCGCAGUUGAAACUGGACGCCUUGAGUUCACAACAGGCAGGCGGAAUUCGUGGUGGAGCAGUGAAAUGCA